UGUUGGGAGAGGAGGUGGUUCCCAUCAGAAGCAGACUGGGACCGUUGGGAGAGGAGGUGGUUCCCAUCAGGAGCAGACUGGGACUGUUGGGAGAGGAGGUGGUUCCCAUCAGGAGCAGACUGGGACUGUUGGGAGAGGAGGUGGUUCCCAUCAGGAGCAGACUGGGACCGUUGGGGAAGGAGGUGCCUAUGAGGAUUAGGCUGAGGUUAGAGGUGGCGCCUCCUAUGAGGAGUAGACGGGUGGAGACUACAGUGCCUAUGAGGAGCAGGCUGGGAGCCAUGGUCAAAGAGGAGAUCCAGCCAGCUUCUCCACGCAUGGUGCAGCCAGCCAGGAUACUAUGACAUGGCGGCAGAUGACAGUUGUCCUAAACCAGCCAAGACCAUCAUGCCUGACCCCUCCAUCCACCUCGGAACAAACCCCAAAUUAUUUUUUAUUUUACCAGGCUUGUCUCAAAUCUCUUUUUAUUUUUUU
RNAcentral lists this long non-coding RNA (471 nucleotides) under Salmo salar (Atlantic salmon). Its description in RNAcentral is "lncRNA (ENSSSAG00000087325.1, ENSSSAG00000094192.1)". Lineage: Eukaryota; Metazoa; Chordata; Actinopteri; Salmoniformes; Salmonidae. The record is from RNAcentral.